This 1520-nucleotide ribosomal RNA is filed under the name Brevibacillus laterosporus. RNAcentral's name for it is "partial 23S ribosomal RNA". It matches the Rfam family "Bacterial large subunit ribosomal RNA", at positions 1 to 1520 of the family's 2925-position model. The record is from RNAcentral. Lineage: Bacteria; Bacillati; Bacillota; Bacilli; Caryophanales; Paenibacillaceae.
GGUUAAGUUAAUAAGGGCACACGGUGGAUGCCUUGGCGUUAGGAGCCGAAGAAGGACGCAGCGAACUGCGAUAAGCCUCGGGGAGUGGUAAGCACACUUUGAUCCGGGGAUUUCCGAAUGGGGGAACCCACCAUCUGUAAUGGGAUGGUAUCCUUCACUGAAUACAUAGGUGAUGAGAAGGCAGACCCGGUGAACUGAAACAUCUAAGUAGCCGGAGGAAGAGAAAACAAUAGUGAUUCCGUCAGUAGUGGCGAGCGAACGCGGAAGAGCCUAAACCGUAGGAUUUAUCCUACGGGGUUGUGGGGCGUUUCAUAUAGGAGUUACAAAAGACAGAUGUAGGUGAACAGUUUGGGAAGACUGACCAAAGAGCGUGAUAGUCGCGUAACCCAAACAUCUGUCUCUCCGAGACCAACCCCGAGUAGCGCGGGACACGUGAAAUCCCGUGUGAAUCUGGCAGGACCAUCUGCUAAGGCUAAAUACUACCUAACGACCGAUAGUGAACCAGUACCGUGAGGGAAAGGUGAAAAGCACCCCGGGAGGGGAGUGAAAUAGUACCUGAAACCGUGUGCUUACAAAUAGUCGGAGCACUUUCUAUGUGUGACGGCGUGCCUUUUGUAGAAUGAACCGGCGAGUUACGAUAGCGUGCGAGGUUAAGUCGAAGAGACGGAGCCGCAGCGAAAGCGAGUCUGAAUAGGGCGAAAGUACGUUGUCGUAGACCCGAAACCGUGUGAUCUAGCCAUGUCCAGGGUGAAGGUAGGGUAACACCUACUGGAGGCCCGAACCCACGCACGUUGAAAAGUGCGGGGAUGAGGUGUGGCUAGCGGUGAAAUUCCAAUCGAACUCGGAGAUAGCUGGUUCUCCCCGAAAUAGCUUUAGGGCUAGCCUCGGAUUUAGAGUCUUGGAGGUAGAGCACUGAUUGGACUAGGGGCCCUCAUCGGGUUACCGAAUUCAGUCAAACUCCGAAUGCCAAGUACUUAUAUCCGGGAGUCAGACGGUGAGUGCUAAGAUCCAUCGUCAAAAGGGAAACAGCCCAGACCAUCAGCUAAGGCCCCCAAGUGUAUGUUAAGUGGGAAACGAUGUGGAGUUGCCCAGACAACCAGGAUGUUGGCUUAGAAGCAGCCACCAUUUAAAGAGUGCGUAAUAGCUCACUGGUCGAGUGACUCUGCGCGGAAAAUGUAACGGGGCUAAACAUACCGCCGAAGCUAUGGCAGUCCUUAUGGACUGGGUAGGGGAGCGUUCCAAGCAGCAGUGAAGCCGUAUCGUGAGGAGCGGUGGAGCGCUUGGAAGUGAGAAUGCCGGUGUAAGUAGCGAAAAGACAAGUGAGAAUCUUGUCCACCGAAAGCCUAAGGUUUCCUGGGGAAGGCUCGUCCUCCCAGGGUUAGUCGGGACCUAAGCUGAGGCCGAAAGGCGUAGGCGAUGGACAACUGGUUGAUAUUCCAGUACCACCUCUGUUCCGCUUGAGCAAUGGCGUGACGCAGGAGGAUAGGGUGAGCGGCCUAUUGGAUGGCCGUCUAAGCAGU